Molecule: transfer RNA, 72 nt
Filed under: Daphnia pulex (common water flea)
Lineage: Eukaryota; Metazoa; Arthropoda; Branchiopoda; Diplostraca; Daphniidae
Rfam family: tRNA
About the family: Transfer RNA (tRNA) molecules are approximately 80 nucleotides in length. Their secondary structure includes four short double-helical elements and three loops (D, anti-codon, and T loops).
Source: Rfam by way of RNAcentral
GAUUUCGUGGCGCAAACGGUAGCGCGCCUGACCCCAGAUCAGGAGGUUGCGUGUUCAAUCACGUUGAGAUCA